This 260-nucleotide long non-coding RNA is filed under the name Homo sapiens (human). RNAcentral's name for it is "HSALNT0250259". The record is from RNAcentral. Lineage: Eukaryota; Metazoa; Chordata; Mammalia; Primates; Hominidae.
UCCAGGAAGCUCAGUAAACCACCUUAAAGGCAGCAAUCCUCAGCAGGCCCACGGUAGCUGUUUAGCUAAGAGAGGAUGAGAGACACUGGGCCUCACUACACAUCAUUUCCAGGAAGUCGGGACUCCAAAAAUGAGACAACUAUGAUGAUACAUCCCCUUAAAGGUUCUUCAUUGUACUAUGGAUUUUUUAAAAUUGUAAGUCAAGUUCCAAGUUCUGUGAAUCUACUGAUUUUAAGUCUGUGACUCAAACUGUGCCACAA